GUGCUGCUGGACAGGUCAGGCGUGGGGCUCGAGUCCUCGUGGGCGGGCGGGGGGAUCGUCUCUCCGUUGUACCCC
Molecule: transfer RNA, 75 nt
Filed under: Pseudomonas fluorescens
Lineage: Bacteria; Pseudomonadati; Pseudomonadota; Gammaproteobacteria; Pseudomonadales; Pseudomonadaceae
Description: tRNA-Ser
Source: RNAcentral